GGAACAAUUUGCAGGGAGUCCCCAGACAACCUCACAUCACGUCUAGGUUGGGAGUGAUCAGGGGUAGUUCAACUCCCGCAUUUCCACACGAGGAAACGCCCGCAGAGCGCUGGCGCCCACCCUUAGGUGCCACUUCUGUCUCCCUCUGCUGAGUCCUCCGGCCACCCCAUGUCAUCAAUCCGCAUCACUGACAGUCUGAAAGCGAAUGCGUACUGAGCACUUACUGGCCUCAGUGCCUGGUGAUGACUGUUUUCAUUCAGCCCUUACACGCCUAGGAGGGAUUUCAAAGACAAUUCAACUAAGGCACAGAGAAGUGCAGGGACUUGUCCAGGGUCACACAGCUAGGGUGCAGUGAACAGGAUCCACACUGGGUCUGUCUGACCCUAGGGCCUGCCCUGUAGACUAACCCAGGUACCCACUGUGUCCUGGACAGUCCCCAACUCUCUCAUUCCCCGCCUUGCCCUUCAGAUUCUCCCCUGACCUAGAAAGCCAUGGAUCCCCCAUUGGAGUCGUGGCUGAGCAGCUCUGGGCUCUGAUCCUUUCUGGGAGUGUCACAUGUAAGCAAAACGGCCCAGAGAGGGUACCUCACAUCCCGCGGGGGCGGGGUUAGGGGGCAGUCCCCUUCCAAGAGGCCAGGGAAGGCCUCUUUGCCCCACUGGGGACAGCCAGUGAGGAAGGGUGCUUCUCUGCCCACAGACGAGCAGGGGCUACUGGCAGCUCUGCUGGCAGCCGCUGGCAGGGAAGCAGCACAAGGGGCCGCCUCUUGAGGAUGGAGGAGAGUCGGCUCAGAGUGCAGGUCGUGUGGGGCUGAGGGCGGAAUUCCCCAGAAGCUGCGUCCAAAAUGCUCCCGAGCCUUUCAGCUCUCCGGGGAAUUCUGCUGGCACAGGGCUUGGUGCAAAACAAAGGCCAGUCUGUGCUCUGCAUUCCGAAUGGAAAUGUCGACUCUCCUCUCCUCUCAGGCCCGCCCGUCAGAUGCCACAGAAGUCGAACUGGUGGCCCUAGGGCAGCUGGAGCCUGAGAGAGCAGGCAAAGGGUCCAGGCAGGGAUCACUGCACGUCAAGCCGUGGAUGGCUCCCGCUCUGAACCGCCAUGUCACUGUCCUGAACGUGAGACUGCCCAGCCUCUCAAGCUCAUGGUCCCCAGAGCAGAGGCACUGGGUUUCCUCCCUGCUCAGAGACGGCUUGGCAGCUGCAGCGCCUCCUGCAGGCGUUCUCUGAGGCUGGGGACACUGUGGGCAGACAGCGCAGUGGGCAGUUUGGUGGGCUUGGGAGUCAGAUCCUGGGUUCCGUUCCUGGCUUUGCCACUCCCUGGUUGUGUGGUCCUGGGCAUGCUAUUUAGUAUCUUGCUAAACCUCAAUUUCCUCGUCUGUGAAACAGGGAAAAUAUUAGCACCUAACUCCCAGGACUGUGUUAGGGUUUAACAAGAUAAGAACUUAAUCUCAGGGCAAGCACUGGGCCCAGGGCCUGGCGAACAGUCACUGAUUACUAACUGCUAGCUCAGAUUAGCAUGUCAUCCCCCGACAGUGGGCAGAAGCUGCCAAAGGAGAACCCUGAGAAAGGCACCAUGUCUGAGGGGCAGGAGAGAGGUGCCACUUUGUGUCCACAGGUGCUGGAGCCCACGUGCCUCUGCCAGCCCUCUACUAGAACUUGGUGUGCAAUUUGACUACCCAAAAAGAAAGGAGGAAGAGGAACCCACAGCAAACCUCACAUAACCCCAAAAGGGGAUUUCAGAUUUCAACCCGUGCCUUUCAUCCACAGCAGGGCGGACUUGCCACUGUGCUGCUUGGCAAACACUUCUCCCGUUUCCUCCCCGGAGCACUCUCUGCUGUGAGGACCAGGCAAGUCCUCCAGCUUGUCUGCCUGCCUCUCCAGCUGGAGUUAGGGCCUGGCCUGAGGGGCAUGAAGGGGUGGAAGCGAGUCCAGGUUGACUUUGAAAGGAUGAAAGCAAGGUCUGGAGAGGACAGGGGUGGGCCCUUGACUCUCAGUGUGGGUCUCUCUGCACCAUGCCACUCUGCCCUCUUCCAGAAGAGCUGGGAGUCAAGGGAGAGGGGGCCAGAACCUCCGUCUGACCAGCACAGAAGGGAUUGUGAGAUUAAAGGACUGCUGCCAAGACGAGGGGUCUGAAUGAGUCACUUACUGAGCACCCACCAGGAAUGGCCAAUGAAUGGACCAGGGAGGAUUUCUGCACUCCUUCCCAGAGCCCUGUCUGCGGCUUUGAAGACUCCUUCCUCACAUUCUAUGCAGCAAGAAAACAAGCAGGCAUCCCACCCCCACCACCGGGAUUCCUGGGAGAAGUGGGCUGUUGUAAGCCAGACUCCCCCUGGGAAUCUGCAGGCAUGCGGCAGCUGGUAGCUGCAGCAUGUAGCCUACUCCAACCCCACAGUUACCUCAGGAAGAAAAGCAGGUCUCACCUUUUAUUGAGCACCAUGUUCCCGAGCUUCAGGUCUCUGUGCACAAUGUUUUUCUGGAAGACAACAAAAUGGUUUGCACCAUGAAGGUGAGUGAGGGCUCGGGGCGGCCCAGCCUGCAAGGUGUUUGGGAAGGUGGGAUAAAAACUCUGUGACAUGCCUUUUAAGGCUCUGCCUUGAUUUGUAAGCCCCAGACAGACCAGGACCAUUCUAAGACCUCAUUAGCCAUGUGUAGGGAUGGGGUAAUAGGUGAGCUCAGGCAAUCUCUGCCCCACCCAGGGCGGGUUCCCAGCCUUCUCCCCUCAGGGCAGAAGCCAGUGGGAAAACCCAGUCCUUUCUCCACCUCUAUCAAACUUCUUAUUGAAAACUAAGCAUCUGCCUGGAGCCGGAAUCAGAGAUGAACUCUCCUGACUCUGGAGACCAAGUCUGCAGGCUUGGCCCACAGACGCUGUGAGUCUGCAAGAGGCUCUCCUAACCUGGGCAUUGGGGUACUUGACACCUCCAAUCCUAGGAAAAGCUCAGAGGUAGGCUGUGGCCCCGGUGGAUAUCUCACAGUCAGCACCCAAGAUGGGAGGCUCAUGUUUAGCUCCUUGCGUGAGAGGGAUCCCUGCUCUGGGCUCUGCUCCGUGCCCAUUGCGGCACCUCCCACCCCAGGAUGGUGGGCUGAUGCCUGCGGCACUGUGCCUCCCCAGGCAUACAUGUCAUCUGGCCACUUUCCUUCUGCACACUCCCAGCUGUUCCAGCUGCAAGCACACCUGGGUGAGGGCGGGACAGAGGGUGGCUUUCUAUGGCUUGUGGGGCCCAGGAUGCUGUCAGGCCAGAGGGGAGGUUGCAGAGGGGCAGCCUCACCUGGUG
Myotis daubentonii (Daubenton's bat) is the source of this 3262-nucleotide long non-coding RNA. RefSeq lists it as uncharacterized. The record is from RefSeq and is a predicted model, not a curated record. NCBI's taxonomy places the organism in Eukaryota, Metazoa, Chordata, Mammalia, Chiroptera, Vespertilionidae.